Molecule: non-coding RNA, 2893 nt
Organism: Cicer arietinum (chickpea)
Lineage: Eukaryota; Viridiplantae; Streptophyta; Magnoliopsida; Fabales; Fabaceae
Source: RefSeq, a predicted model, not a curated record
CUAUAAGGAAGAAGAAAAAAAAAAAUGGUUGGUAAAAGAAAGCGGUUGAGAAAAGGGUGGGCUGGGUUAUCGGUUACCAUCAACAAACCCAACCCAAUUUUGAAAAUGUGGAUGAUGAUGUCUUUUUAUAAUAUCCUUCAUUUCUUUCUUUGUUUUUCACCUUCAAAUAUAUAAAUAAUAAACAAUAAUAAUCUACCCCCUUCUUUUUCAAAACCCUAAUUUCUUUUCCCCCAUCACCGAUCUCAAUUAUUUCAUCAGAUCUGUUUCUCUGCUUCCUCGUCAGGAGUUAUGUCUUUUGUGCGGAAUUUUCAAGCAGAAGAUCAUAAUUUAAAUGGUGGUUAUCGUUCCACCUAUGGAGUAAACAACAAUGGCCACCCUGAUAGAAAAAGAAGCAGGAACUAUUACAAUCAGAGGAAUUAUAACGAUUAUUACAUUGAUAACCAGACAAAAUUUGGGCACCAAGGUGGCAACUAUAACAAUUAUAAUGCGGACUAUACUAGUUAUGUCAAUUAUGAUGUUGCCCCAUCAUCUCUGAGAAAGAGAAAAUAUUCAGCUCCUGUUUGCGAAGAAAGCCAGAAGCUCAAUCAUCCUUCCACAGUCCAUGACAAUUUCCCUUCAUCCCGUGGUUUUCAAGCUUAUCCUACAAGAUCCAAUGCUUACGCUACCACAACCAGCAGCAAACCUGAUUUCUCUAUAUUUGAUGAUGAUAAACCCAUCUUUAUGUCUAGGGAUGAUAUCGAUAGAUACUCUCCAUCAAGAAAAGACGGUAUUGAUGUACUUCACGAAACACACUUGCGGUAUUCCUAUUGUGCGUUUCUUCAGAAUCUCGGAACAAGGCUUGAGCUGCCUCAAACUACCAUUGGGACAUCCAUGGUUCUGUGCCACCGAUUUUUUGUUCGGCGAUCACAUGCUUGCCAUGACAGAUUUUUGAUAGCUACUGCUGCCCUUUUUCUUGCUGGGAAGUCAGAAGAAUCUCCAUGCCCUUUGAAUAGCAUAUUGAGAACAUCCAGUGAAAUCUUGCACAAACAAGAUUUUACUUUCUUAUCCUACUGGUUUCCUGUUGAUUGGGUUGAACGGUAUCGUGAACGGGUGCUUGAAGCUGAACAGUUGAUACUCACUACUCUAAAUUUUGAACUCAAUGUGAAACAUCCAUAUGCACCUCUUACAUCCGUUCUUAACAAAUUGGGUCUUUCAAAGACUACUUUGGUGAAUCUGGCAUUAAACUUGGUCAGUGAAGGGUGAGUUUUGUUAUUUUAAAUCAUACACCGUUAUGAUUGCAGUAGUGAUGUUUGUUUAUACCGUUCAUCUUGAGGGCAAAACUAGUUCCACUCAAUUGAAACUUGUAUGUGAUAAUCUGAGCUGUUGACUGGUGUUCUCUUCAGGAUCUUCACAAGAUUAUCGUGCUGGCAUGUAUGAUAUUCUUAGCUGGUGGAUUGAUAUGCUGUUCUUGGAAAGUUUUGUUUUACAUCUGAAGUUGAACUGCUGAUGUCUAAUGGAUUGCUUUACCUUGAAUAUGACCCUCUUAUUGUGUUUGGGCUAACAAAGAGCCCCAUGCCCCCAACACAUUUUCUGUCAAACUGUCAAUGUGUUGUAGUUUGUGCUGAUUACCGUUAGCCAAAUGGGUUGUCGUUAUUUCUUAGUGUCCUGGAUGGAAAGAAGAUGAUACAACAUAUAAAUAAUUUGUUUCAAAAGGCAACAAAAUAAGCAAAUGGUCUGAAUUUCAAAUUUACUCAGUCUUUUGUUGUCUUGAACAAGUUAUGGUUAGUCAUCAGUCAUAACUCAUUGAUCAAAAUCGGUUCUUUGGAUCCUUUCCACUAGAGUCAAUCUAUGAUGUGAAGUAGAGUUGUCAAUCGCAAAAUGCAGAAAAUAAUGGUUUGUUCAAAUUUUGUUCCGCUACAGUGCUAUAGCUGCUAUUUGGCAACACUUUGUACCAAAUUGCAUUGCUGAACAAUAGCAAUUUGUUCAAAUUCCACUACACUAUUGUGCUAUAGCGCUGCUAUUAGACAACACUGAUAUGAAGGAAAAUUGAUUUUUCUUCUGCUUCUGGAUUGCUUUUUAUAUAAACAUAAAAAUAGACCCUCUGCUGCCUGCUGGUUCUGUGUGCUUUUUUUAUAAAUAAAAAAAACUGACUGAAACUUUCUACUUCAUCUAUAUUUGGCCUCUUCUCCCACCCCCCAAUGUUCUCCUGAUUAGCCAAUCCGAACGCGUUUAAUUGGGGGCUUUCGAGAACAUAGGGGGUGGGAGGAGAAGCUAUCUAUUUAUGAAUUGUUUUGGAAAAAAUUGUUCCCAAGCAAAAAACUGAUCUGAUGUUGAGCAAUGAUCUUUAUUUUCUUUUCUUUCCCAAGUGCUCCUGCUAAUGCAAUCUCUUAGACUUUCCACCUGUUCAAAUAGUUGUAUCUUUGUUCAGUUGCUUACAGUCUAGUUAUUAAGUUUGUAAUGGGGAUGAAGACUUUAAGAUUUCACUUACUUUCAUUGGGAAAAAAAACAAUUGAAUUAUUCACUCAAAUUAUUAGAAUUUUACUUUCACUUGGCAAUGAAUUCUGUUUUAACUUUUAGCAGUAUUAGGGACAUUUUUGUUCAUGUUUUUGAUAAGGUCAUCCUCUGCUUGAACCAAAGUUGCUGUCAAAAUUAUGAAUGAUGUUGAAAACUUGAAAUGAGAAGCCAUUAGGCUAAAUAUAGGUGUUUUUCUUUUGAAGUAGAUGUCUGAAAGAUCAGAUGCUUGGCUGUAUCGAUCAAUGAUUUUUGUCGUAAUAGUUUCCUCUGAUUAUAGGAUGAUACUUUAUCCUUAAUGUCAUGCUUUGUAAUCUGGUUGUAUCAAUUGAUGUAUGAACUAUUUUUCCGAAAAUGCAUUUUAUAGCAAUUGCUUUCAGGAAAUGCAUUUGCAUUGAUUAUA